UCGAAAUUUAAUUUUUUUCGAUUUUUUUGAGUCAAAUCGAAAUUUUCUCACCCUUAACUACAUCCGCUGCCAUGCCAACCUAGUUUGACCUCUACUGUGCCAAAAUAUCCACUCUCCACUUGAGAGCCUUCUUCUGUCCAGCUCGGUGUUAGCCUUUGGAUAAGAAUAAAAUGUUAAAGAUACUGACUACUUGGAAAUAGAGAAAAAAAGUUACAUCGAUUACAUUGGAUGUCCCCAAAGUUUUUUCAUAUGAUUAUGACCCUAAUAUUAUGUUUGGUAUAUAUAGGGCACCAUUUGCAGGUAUCCAAAAAACUUGAACUCUUGACCAUGUAAUGACCGUCACCUAGCCCCCCAGUUCCACUCGAACCCGUGGCCACAUCACGGCAUCCAGCUGGGACCUCCACCUAGACUUCGACCCUUGAUCAUAUCAAGCAUUAUUACCCCGAAACCUGAUUUUCCCACGAUGAGUUUUUGAGGUGAUGGUCCUAUCCUGCCAUGACAUAUGAAAUGUAUUUGUUCUGAAGCACGUUAUCACAUCCCGGACCCCUCUAAUCUACUUAUGAACUUUUUUGGUUUCAAUAAAAAAUUUUAAUUCAUAAAUCUAAAAACCAUAACCCUAAGAAAAUUAAAAACCUGAACCUAGGAGAGGAAAGAGAAAGGAAAAGUGCGUUUAGCUGGACACGCUUUCCUGCCAACUAUACAGAAAAUGCACCCACUUUUCAUUUCUUUCUUCUAAAACCAACCUAUUUCCUUAAUUAAAAAAAAGUCCUAAAGGCUUAAUUAAAAAAAACCUUGUAAUCCCCAAUUGGUGCCCGGGGCCCAAACUUAAUACAAACCCAAAUACAACACUCAGCCCAAAUACUUUUAAACCCAAAAAAUGGCCCAAAACACAAUAAUCCACACUGGCCCAAUACCUAGCCCUAACAAUUCUCAACAGCAGAAACCUUAGGUAGUUUUCGUGCUUCAGUGCCGCAGCAACCGCUUCCACGCCCCACGUUCAUCACUCGCGCAUGUCCUCCACGACCUUUACACCUACGGAAAAACUAAUCCAAACGACAGUAGAUGUGGCAAAUAACGGGAUAGAUAGUUUUUAUGAUUAUUUUGGUACAUCUCGGCUAUAAAGAGACUGAUUUAAAUCUAUAAAAUGUGGGGGUUUAGAAAUUUUUUGGUACUGAAAUCAAAAAGAAAAUAUACAGAAAAAUAGUUUUGAAGGUAGAAUUUUGUUUUAUUUUUCUCUGUUCUUUUACUGCCUUUUUUAAGUUAUUUUGGUUCUUUUCUUUUUAUUUCUUAAAAACAAAACACGAAAAGGGUGAGGGGGAGGAGGACUUACCGUCAAGAGAUUCGUUGGGCGCUCUCGUUAGCCGUUAUCUGGUCGGAAAAGGGAGGAGAUUGGAACGGCAGAGGAGGGGUUUUGAGAGGAGUUGCGGCGCACCACAAAAGUGGCA
RNAcentral lists this long non-coding RNA (1445 nucleotides) under Gossypium barbadense (sea-island cotton). RNAcentral's name for it is "long non-coding RNA (GBAR_LNC013363)". Lineage: Eukaryota; Viridiplantae; Streptophyta; Magnoliopsida; Malvales; Malvaceae. The record is from RNAcentral.